Molecule: ribosomal RNA, 428 nt
Filed under: uncultured bacterium
Lineage: Bacteria
Description: bacterial SSU rRNA
Rfam family: Bacterial small subunit ribosomal RNA
Source: RNAcentral
GUAGGGAAUAUUGCACAAUGGAGGAAACUCUGAUGCAGCGACGCCGCGUGAGUGAUGAAGGCCUUCGGGUCGUAAAGCUCUGUCGCAGGGGAAUAACACAAUGAAGGUACCCUGUAAGAAAGGAUCGGCUAACUUCGUGCCAGCAGCCGCGGUAAGACGAGGGAUCCUAGCGUUGUUCGGAAUCAUUGGGCGUAAAGCGGAUGUAGGUGGCUAUGUAAGUCAGAUGUGAAAGCCUGGGGCUCAACCCCAGAAGUGCAUUUGAUACUGCGUAGCUUGAGUGUCGGAGAGGUUACUAGAAUUGUUGGUGUAGUGGUGAAAUACGUAGAUAUCAACAGGAAUACCGGAGGCGAAGGCGGGUAACUGACCGAACACUGACACUGAGAUCCGAAAGCGUGGGGAUCAAACAGGAUUAGAUACCCUGGUAGUCC